UAGACGCUGGCGGCAGGCCUAAACAUGCAAGUCGAGCGGAUGAAGGGAGCUUGCUCCUGGUUCAGCGGCGGACGGGUGAGUAAUGCCUAGGAAUCUGCCUGGUAGUGGGGGAUAACGUCCGGAAACGGGCGCUAAUACCGCAUACGUCCUGAGGGAGAAAGUGGGGGAUCUUCGGACCUCACGCUAUCAGAUGAGCCUAGGUCGGAUUAGCUAGUUGGUGGGGUAAAGGCCUACCAAGGCGACGAUCCGUAACUGGUCUGAGAGGAUGAUCAGUCACACUGGAACUGAGACACGGUCCAGACUCCUACGGGAGGCAGCAGUGGGGAAUAUUGGACAAUGGGCGAAAGCCUGAUCCAGCCAUGCCGCGUGUGUGAAGAAGGUCUUCGGAUUGUAAAGCACUUUAAGUUGGGAGGAAGGGCAGUAAAGUUAAUACCUUGCUGUUUUGACGUUACCAACAGAAUAAGCACCGGCUAACUUCGUGCCAGCAGCCCGCGGUAAUACGAAGGGUGCAAGCGUUAAUCGGAAUUACUGGGCGUAAAGCGCGCGUAGGUGGUUCAGCAAGUUGGAUGUGAAAUCCCCGGGCUCAACCUGGGAACUGCAUCCAAAACUACUGAGCUAGAGUACGGUAGAGGGUGGUGGAAUUUCCUGUGUAGCGGUGAAAUGCGUAGAUAUAGGAAGGAACACCAGUGGCGAAGGCGACCACCUGGACUGAUACUGACACUGAGGUGCGAAAGCGGGGGAGCAAAC
Molecule: ribosomal RNA, 747 nt
Filed under: Pseudomonas aeruginosa
Lineage: Bacteria; Pseudomonadati; Pseudomonadota; Gammaproteobacteria; Pseudomonadales; Pseudomonadaceae
Description: bacterial SSU rRNA
Rfam family: Bacterial small subunit ribosomal RNA
Source: RNAcentral